AACGAACGCUGGCGGCAUGCCUAACACAUGCAAGUCGAACGAGACCUUCGGGUCUAGUGGCGCACGGGUGCGUAACGCGUGGGAACCUGCCCUUAGGUUCGGAAUAACUCCCCGAAAGGGGUGCUAAUACCGGAUAAUGUCUUCGGACCAAAGAAUUAUCGCCUUUGGAGGGGCCGGCGUUGGAUUAGCUAGUUGGUAGGGUAAAACCCUACCAAGGCGACGAUCCAUAGCUGGCCGGAGAGGAUGAGCAGCCACACUGGGACGGAGACACGGCCCAGACUCCUACGGGAAGCAGCAGUGGGUAAUAUUGGACAAGGGGCGAAAUCCUGAUCCAGCAAUGCCGCGUGAGUGAUGAAGGCCUUAGUGUUGUAAAGCUCUUUUACCCGGGAAGAUAAUGACAGUACCGGGAGAAUAAGCUCCGGCUAACUCCGUG
This 433-nucleotide ribosomal RNA is filed under the name uncultured bacterium. RNAcentral's name for it is "partial 16S ribosomal RNA". It matches the Rfam family "Bacterial small subunit ribosomal RNA", at positions 29 to 507 of the family's 1533-position model. The record is from RNAcentral.